Schizosaccharomyces pombe (fission yeast) is the source of this 71-nucleotide non-coding RNA. The record is from Rfam. NCBI's taxonomy places the organism in Eukaryota, Fungi, Ascomycota, Schizosaccharomycetes, Schizosaccharomycetales, Schizosaccharomycetaceae.
UCUCCUUUAGUAUAGGGGUAGUACACAAGCCUGUCACGCUUGCAGCCCGGGUUCGAAUCCCGGAGGGAGAG